GUGGGGAAUAUUGGACAAUGGGCGAAAGCCUGAUCCAGCAAUGCCGCGUGAGUGAUGAAGGCCUUAGGGUUGUAAAGCUCUUUUACCCGGGAUGAUAAUGACAGUACCGGGAGAAUAAGCUCCGGCUAACUCCGUGCCAGCAGCCGCGGUAAUACGGAGGGAGCUAGCGUUGUUCGGAAUUACUGGGCGUAAAGCGCACGUAGGCGGCUUGGUAAGUUAGAGGUGAAAGCCUGGAGCUUAACUCCAGAACUGCCUUUAAGACUGCAUCGCUUGAAUCCAGGAGAGGUGAGUGGAAUUCCGAGUGUAGAGGUGAAAUUCGUAGAUAUUCGGAAGAACACCAGUGGCGAAGGCGGCUCACUGGACUGGUAUUGACGCUGAGGUGCGAAAGCGUGGGGAGCAAACAGGAUUAGAUACCCUUGUAGUCC
This 425-nucleotide ribosomal RNA is filed under the name uncultured bacterium. Its description in RNAcentral is "partial 16S ribosomal RNA". It matches the Rfam family "Bacterial small subunit ribosomal RNA", at positions 354 to 796 of the family's 1533-position model. The record is from RNAcentral.